Long non-coding RNA from Bombus terrestris (buff-tailed bumblebee), 1137 nucleotides. RefSeq lists it as uncharacterized. The transcript is spliced from 3 exons. The record is from RefSeq and is a predicted model, not a curated record. Lineage: Eukaryota; Metazoa; Arthropoda; Insecta; Hymenoptera; Apidae.
ACAUCUAGACACACGGUAUCGAUUCACGAGCAGCCUCUCGGUUGGACAGUGAACAUGAUACAGUCGGCAAUGAACUGACGCAAGUGGAGGCCGCGUAUGAAAGUAAAUAUUAACGCUGCCUCCUUCGGUUACGCUCGUGAGCCACACCGGAGAUCUUGUAAAUACACCUUACUUGGGUGCAUCCAAAGUACAUACGCACAUAUUCGCGGACUGGAUCAAUUUGGAUUCUUACGUAUCGUCGUAUUUUUAAGAGAUAGGACACUCGUUCGACGAAUUUAAAAGGAGCAUAUCUUGGCUAGAUUUAGCCGUGCUAAAUCACUGUCAAAUUUCUAUAAAAUUUAUUCCUCUAUGGCAUCGUAAGUCGUCGUAAAUCAUCUUACUGCGCGUUUCAGGUCCUAAAAUUUCUCCGAGGAAUACGUAUGCACAUAGCUGUUAACAUCUGUUAAGCAAUCGUCUAGGCAUACAUAUAUGGGACGUGCUAGCCACCGAAGGAGAAUCUCAGAGGAGACCAACGGGAAAUAAAUCUUCAGAGACUAGUUGGUUAGGAUUUGCGGGAUAUCUUGCAGAAACGGAUUGCACAACGAAGCUGCAAGGCGAUUCGCACGAUCGUGAUGAAUGGAGGAAGGGACGAGUAAAGUGUGAUGUUACAACUCUUGUUAUCCACUGGAGUAUUUCUUUUCCUUUCGGCAAAUAUAGUUUACUCGUUUCGUUCGCUGUACCAAAUGCAAGUAUAUUUUACGACUAUCCUAUGAUACUUUAUUUACAAGCUCGAAGACGAUCUUCGAGAUCGUUCUCGAUCCAGUAAAGCCUUUAUCUCUAUUAAAAAUGUUUUCUAACUUUGAGAAAAACGCGCUUCUAUGGAACUUGCUUCCGUGAGUCAAAAAAUUACACGUUAACGCAUAACUUGAGGAAUUUGUUGAAAUUCUUAUGUUGGAUUUCUCAUUCUUAAAUUCAACGUCUUGGAGGCAAAAUAAACGUACACGCAUUCGAUAAAAUAAAAUGACAAUAUCGCAGAGUGUAUGUUCGUCUUUUAAUUUUAAUGCUUAAAGAUUGAGAGUAUUAGCCACGAGGUUUUCAAAUUCCCUUACAAGAAUGAUAAAAUUUUAAAGCACGAAAAGGCACCGCAAAGAAACCAAU